AACCCUGUACAAGUGAGAACUUGGAGUCUCUACAUUGAACAGUGAUUUGAUUGUUGGUAUUUGGUACAGCUCAUAUUUAAUUGGCAACAAAAAUUGCUAGAUUUUCCUUUUCCUUGCCUAUUUACCAAAUGCAACUAGCAAAGUACAAAUAUUUUAUGGAGCUGCAUAAUUUCAGUUAGUCUCUCUUCAUCCUAGAAUGUUGCCAAAAAAAAUUGUAGGGUGCUGUUAUCAAGGAAGGGCAGGUGAUAGGAUAUUUAGAUCAGUUUGGUACUGAGCUUCCUGUGAAGUCUGAUGUGGCUGGAGAGGUCCUAAAGCUUCUCGUAGAUGAUGGAGAUGCUGUUGGCUAUGGGGAUCCGCUCAUUGCUGUCCUGCCAUCCUUCCACGGCAUCAAGUGAAGUGCCAUAAAAUCUAGCGUAGUUUUACAAUUUGCAGCCAGAGUGUUGGAAGAGUUUCGAGAUUCAGAAUUUGUUUUCUCAGAGACCAACUUGUAUUAUUUUUUGGGCUUUGCUUCAUACAAUCUUUAGAUGCAGGUGUAAUUGAUGACUGUACUUUGGCAUUGCAUCUCUAGAUUAAGGAAAUAAUCAGUUUAAAAGGCUUAGGUGUUCUGGAGAAAAAGGUUUAUGAUUUUUGUUGGGUGACAAUUUUGUAUACCUGCCUAUGAAAGCCGUAGUUUGUCGAUUUGCGUAGGCAAAUUUCAUAUAGAGGAUGUUCUGAAGGCUUUCAUUCCAUUUUGCACCUCUAUGUUCAAAACCCUAAAUAAAUAGAUUUAGCAUCCAAAACAGGAUCUAAUUAUUGUA
Non-coding RNA from Carica papaya (papaya), 797 nucleotides. The record is from RefSeq and is a predicted model, not a curated record. Lineage: Eukaryota; Viridiplantae; Streptophyta; Magnoliopsida; Brassicales; Caricaceae.